This 1242-nucleotide ribosomal RNA is filed under the name metagenome. RNAcentral describes it as "bacterial LSU rRNA". It matches the Rfam family "Bacterial large subunit ribosomal RNA", at positions 1564 to 2817 of the family's 2925-position model. The record is from RNAcentral.
UGAGUACGAGAUGCUACGGCGUCGAAGCAGUCUAGGUCAUACUUCCAAGAAAAGCUUGCACUGUCAUAAACAAAGAAUGCCUGUACCAUAACCGACACAGGUGGGUAGGUAGAGUAUACUAAGGGGCGCGAGAUAACUCUCUCUAAGGAACUCGGCAAAAUGACUCCGUAACUUCGGGAGAAGGAGUGCCUUAUUUUUAAGGUUGCAAUAACAAGAUCCAAGCAACUGUUUACCAAAAACACAGGUCUCCGCUAAGUCGUAAGACGAUGUAUGGGGGCUGACGCCUGCCCAGUGCCAGAAGGUUAAAGAAGUUGGUUAGCAUUCGCGAAGCUGAUAACUGAAGCCCUGGUGAACGGCGGCCGUAACUAUAACGGUCCUAAGGUAGCGAAAUUCCUUGUCGGGUAAGUUCCGACCCGCACGAAAGGCGUAAUGAUUUGGAUACUGUCUCGGAGGGGCUCGGUGAAAUAGACUUGUCUGUGAAGAUGCGGACUACCUGCACCUGGACAGAAAGACCCUAUGAAGCUUUACUGUAACUUGAGAUUGAAAUUGGACUUUAUUUGCGCAGUAUAGGUGGGAGGCGUUGAGAAUAAUCUUGCGGGAUUAUCGGAGCCAUCAGUGAGAUACCACUCUUGUAAUGUUAGAUUUCUAACUUUGUAUCAUUAUCUGGUCAAAGAACAGUUUCAGGCGGGCAGUUUGACUGGGGCGGUCGCCUCCCAAAGGGUAACGGAGGCGCACAAAGGUUUCCUCUGAACGGGUAGAAAUCGUAUCUAGAGUGUAAAGGCAUAAGGAAGCUUGACUGUGAGACCUACAAGUCGAGCAGGGACGAAAGUCGGUCUUAGUGAUCUGACGGUGCUGAGUGGAAAGGCCGUCACUCAACGGAUAAAAGUUACUCUAAGGAUAACAGGCUGAUCUCCCCCAAGAGUUCACAUCGACGGGGAGGUUUGGCACCUCGAUGUCGGCUCAUCGCAUCCUGGGGCGGUAGUACGUCCCAAGGGUUGGGCUGUUCGCCCAUGAAAGCGGUACGCGAGCUGGGUUCAGAACGUCGUGAGACAGUUCGGUCCAUAUCCGGUGUAGGCGUUAGAAUAUUGAAAGGAGCCUUCUCUAGUACGAGAGGACCGAGAAGGACAUACCUCUGGUGUGCCAGUUAUCGUGCCAACGGUAAACGCUGGGUAGCUAUGUAUGGAGUGGAUAACCGCUGAAAGCAUCUAAGUGGGAAGCCCACCUUAAGAUGAGUAUUCUCAU